RNAcentral lists this ribosomal RNA (252 nucleotides) under uncultured bacterium. Its description in RNAcentral is "partial 16S ribosomal RNA". It matches the Rfam family "Bacterial small subunit ribosomal RNA", at positions 524 to 776 of the family's 1533-position model. The record is from RNAcentral.
UACGUAGGGUGCAAGCGUUGUCCGGAAUUAUUGGGCGUAAAGAGCGUGUAGGCGGCCAAGCAGGUCCGCUGUGAAAACUCGAGGCUCACCUCGAGACGUCGGUGGAAACCGUUUGGCUAGAGUCCGGAAGAGGAGAGUGGAAUUCCCGGUGUAGCGGUGAAAUGCGCAGAUAUCGGGAAGAACACCCGUGGCGAAGGCGGCUCUCUGGGACGGUACUGACGCUGAGACGCGAAAGCGUGGGGAGCGAACAGG